Non-coding RNA from Megalopta genalis, 2751 nucleotides. NCBI's taxonomy places the organism in Eukaryota, Metazoa, Arthropoda, Insecta, Hymenoptera, Halictidae. The record is from RefSeq and is a predicted model, not a curated record.
UCGAACGAUCUAAACAAAACGUCAUUUCGCUUAGGGAGUAGUAGAUUCGACCAUGGCUAUACCCUUCGAAUGCUAUAACACCCGGAACGAUGCACAUUGCCCGUCGACCUGUCUAUGACUCAUGCUACGAUAGUUGACAUUAACCUCUAUGCGCGGCGUGUGCAAUUGUCGCAAUUACAAUUUGUGUGCAACGGGAGCAGAGCGGCUCGCACGAGACCGAGUGGAAGAGGGACGAGAAAAUAGAGUGGGGGGUGAGCAGAGAAGAGAAGAAAGAGAAGAGAGAGAGGAUAGAGCAGAGAGAAGAAAGAAGGGAGAAGAAAGAAGAGCGAGGAGAGAAAAGCCGGCGCUUCAAGGAUCAACACUUUAAACGAGCGGUGCGUAUCGAUUCAAAUGAGUCAUUCGACGCAAACUAAUCACAAUAGUAAAAUUAUCGACGUAACCACCAUUACCGUCACUACCGCCGCUACCGCCAUAUCGUCACCGCCACGCGGCGCGCGUUGACAUUGUUCUAACAAACCUAACACACGAUCGUGCGUCAUAUCAUGGACAACGACCCCCUAUUUCUGCCUGAGCGGCUUUCGUGCGAACUAUUAUACAUAUAUGUAUAAUAGUUAUAUAUAUAUAUAUAUAUAUAUAUAUAUAUAUAUAUAUAUAUAUAUAUAUAUAUAUAUAUAUAUAUAAUAGUUAAUAUAUACUAUAUAUAUAUUUAGUCUAUCAGGAAUACUGUGUACACACUUCCGCUUAAAAAGCACGCGGACGCAUGUCUCCCGUCUGAAGAAAAUAUCAAGUCUCUGCCGCGGCAUCGUGUAAUACUCGUUACGUCUCGCUGCUUCGCGCUGUUCAUAAAAUUCCACAUCGAUAUACACCACCACCUGUUCAAUCGAACGAUUAGAUCAUCGUCGAUUAGAGACGAGUCGAGUCGCGAACGUGGGACGUUUGUAUCGAACCGAAAGAAAGCCUUCGAUCGAUCCAUCGAACCCGUUCAAGCAGUGACCUUGACGGCGGUGACCUCGAACUCCGAGCCAACCAGUCUUCUUUGGUUACCGUGAUUGUGGCUCGAAAGAAGAAGAAGAAAAGAAAAAAAGGAAUUCAGGCCACCGAUUAGCUUGUGUUCCCGGGACGAAUUCUGGAACGCGACCGCUUACGAACGACCGCCCUCCUGUUCCCGGUGUGUCAAACCGGCGGAAUUUGAAAAAGAAGUUUGGCGUCGCGUCAAGCAAGGUUACAAGGUUAAGUGCGCUCGUUGCACUGUAUUUAUAGCGGAGGCAAUUCAGAUCAAAGUGGUCUCAAUCUCUCUCUCUACACACACACACAUGCAUACAUACAUACAUAUAUACACGGAAAUACACGCGCGAGGACACACAUACACGCACACAUAUACAUAUAUAUAUAUAUAGAAUUUGAAGGAACCUCGACAAUGGGAGGAAUAGAGUGCAAUUUGCGGGUGGACACUUCGCCAGUGUUUCCGACAACACGGAUCAACAUCGUUCAGAAAUAAUUCCCCGGUACUGGAAGAAAUUCGAACGCGCGACGCAUCGGCGUGCGUGGACAGGAAAAUAUGUUACGUAGUAUCAAGCCUUGUGCCGCGCUAUCAGAGCUGCAGAGUCCGUUCUAAAGAGCGGAGAUGUAGGCGUGCGCGACUACGACGACCGCCGGUUUCACGUUCCGCGUAGUGACUCAACGAUAUCAUUGGUUCGCUGACAAGCUUCAAAUCCGACUCCGACAACGCUAGCCUCCGUGUACCGGAUAGCAUUUUUAAUAGCGGAGGGGUGUCUCUCCGUGUUCUUUACGGGUGCCCCGUUCAACCGACAAUUAGCCAAUCCAAUCUCGUACAAGCACCGGCUUAUUAUCGAGGCAUCUAAUCUCCGUUGCGAAAGAAAAAAAAAAAAUAGGAAAAAGAAAAACACACGUUGUGCGACGAGCAUCGAAUUACAAAUUGAACCCUCGUUCGAAGCCUACUCGUUACGAAUUACAUUCCGUCGAGUCGUCCUCGGCCCGAUCUUUAGCUCGCGCUGCCUCGCUAUUGUUUCGCAACGACGAUUCCACCGGAUUACCGUAAUCGUCUCGCUCUGACCAGAUAAGAGAAUUCCGUCGAAUCCCGAUCUUGUGUGUGAGUCAGAGCCACGCCAUCGCGAUUCUCGCGAUUAACGCGUUUUUAUUCUUCCUCGGCACGGGGAAGAGGGUUCCGCGGAACCGAUUUACGUUUUCCUCGGAAAAGUGAUCGCGCUGAUCGAUGAUUUUUUCCAUGCGAGCACAGGAGGAAAACUAUAGGCAAAAUAGCGUUGCGUAAGGAGCAAAGAAUAUCCCCGCGAAUUCUCGCGGCCGCAACAAACGGCAAAAGGGGACGCCUUCUUUUUUCUGCUCGGAUCGCGGCCGCCGAGCCCGUAAAAGAGAACCGAUUCGUCUAUCUCUCGACGUCCCGUUUAUCUGCGCGCGAUACUCUGAACGCGUCAUCAGCCCACCGUUAUCGUCGCUCCUUUAUUCGAGAUUAUCUAACAUUUAUUUUUCAACAUUGUUCAAUCGUAUGUUCGAUUAACGCGGUUGCCGCGGCACACGCGUUAGCGUAAACAUCGUUGUCACGAUGAAUAUGUAACCUACUUCUGCGCCCGUGUGCGAGACCAUUCUACUCCACAAAAUACGUGAUAAACGUGCCCGAGCGUUUCCGUUCGAGCACUGUGUAAAGUUUCUAUAAAAUAAGUUCCUAGAGAUCGUCUCGUGUGUCCGUCGAAAGGAGCGAGCAUGUACCAUCAA